GGAUGUGAGUGCGAUCUGGCUGUGACAUGUCACCCCACUGGUCACCAGGGUUGAUUCAAGCUGGCUGGCUAGACAGGUGUCCCCUUUGUCCCUCACCGCUCCAUGUGUCCCUCACGAAUAGAGAGGGACUGUUGGUCAAGAAUAUAGGAGCUGCUGCGCUCCCUGCUGGAACCUCCAAACAAGCUCUCAAAUAUCACUUCAAAAGAGGGGGCUGGAGAGAUGGCUUAGCGGUUAAGCACUUUCCUGUGGAGCCUAAGGACCCCGGUUCAAGGCUCGAUUCCCCAG
Molecule: small nuclear RNA, 285 nt
Filed under: Jaculus jaculus (lesser Egyptian jerboa)
Lineage: Eukaryota; Metazoa; Chordata; Mammalia; Rodentia; Dipodidae
Description: 7SK RNA (ENSJJAG00000008213.1)
Rfam family: 7SK RNA
About the family: 7SK was discovered as an abundant small nuclear RNA in the mid-70s but a possible function has only recently been suggested. Two independent studies have found that 7SK RNA binds the CDK9/cyclin T complex (known as elongation factor P-TEFb).
Source: Rfam by way of RNAcentral